CAUGUCCGUCAGCAACGUAAUGGCUAGCUCUAUACCGUUAGCAACGGGAUGAGGUUAGCUCAUCUCCGUCAGCAACGAAUGGCUAGCUCUAUACCAUUAGCAACAGGAUGAGGUUAGCUCAUCUCCGUCAGCUACGUGAUGGCUAGCUCAUCUCCGUCAGCAACGUGAUGGCUAGCUCUAUACCGUUAGCAACGGGAAGAGGUUAGCUCAUCUCCGUCAGCAACGGGAAGAGGUUAGCUCAUCUCCGUCCGCAACGUGAUGGCUAGCUCAUCUCCGUCAGCAACGUGAUGGCUAGCUCUAUACCGUUAGCAACGGAAUGAGGUUAGCUCAUGUCCGUCAGCAACGUAAUGGCUAGCUCUACACCGUUAGCAACGGGAUGAGGUUAGCUCAUCUCCGUCAGCAACGUGAUGGCUAGCUCUAUACCGUUAGCAACGGAAUGAGGUUAGCUCAUGUCCGUCAGCAACGUAAUGGCUAGCUCUACACCGUUAGCAACGGGAUGAGGUUAGCUCAUCUCCGUCAGCAACGUGAUGGCUAGCUCUAUACCGUUAUUAACGGGAAGAGGUUAGCUCAUCUCCGUCAGCAACGUGAUGGCUAGCUCUAUACCGUUAUUAACGGGAAGAGGUUAGCUCAUCUCCGUCAGCAACGUAAUGGCUAGCUCUAUACCAUUAGCAACGUGAUGAGGUUAGCUCAUCUCCGUCAGCAACGUGAUGGCUAGCUCUAUACCGUUAGCAACGGAAUGAGGUUAGCUCAUGUCCGUCAGCAACGUAAUGGCUAGCUCUAUACCGUUAGCAACGGGAUGAGGUUAGCUCAUCUCCGUCAGCAACGUGAUGGCUAGCUCUACACCGUUAGCAACGGGAUGAGGUUAGCUCAUCUCCGUCAGCAACGUGAUGCGGUAAGCACUACACCGAGAUGGCAGGCAGUCGAGGCAGUAUUUACGUAUUUAAAUAUUUAUAAUUAAAAUUACUUGAGGUGUAAUCAUUUUGUAUAAAUAAUCUAAUAAUCUCCACGAAUCAAAAAACUGUUCACAAGUUCAGUCUUUUAGGUCUUCAAGACUUAAUGUCUGUCAAUGUAAAUAUUUGACAUCAAUAAGAUGUUCAAGAAGGACCAUUAACAAGCACUGAGGGAACCACAGAUAAAACAAUCAUGUAUUUUUGGCUGUGUCCAAUAGGGCUGUCAACGAAUAUUCUAAAUUCGAAUAUAUAUUCCAAUAGUUAAAACAACUAUUCGAAUGUGAAAAUUAAUAUUCAAAUGUAGAUUAACAAAAUAGACUAGAUGGGCUACAACAGCUUCAUGCACUGGUUUGAUUAUUUGACGUUUCAUGCCAUGUUUACCACAGCACAGCUCGCUCGGAGCGUUUAAUGUCGGUUCAUACUGUAAAACUUCAAUUAAUGUUAAUACUAUUUGUUUCAGUCACUGAAUGAAGCCUGCCAUAUUUUGGACAAGAAUAGCGAGCUUAAAAUGCUUG
Gasterosteus aculeatus aculeatus (three-spined stickleback) is the source of this 1465-nucleotide non-coding RNA. Lineage: Eukaryota; Metazoa; Chordata; Actinopteri; Perciformes; Gasterosteidae. The record is from RefSeq and is a predicted model, not a curated record.